AAGUUUUUCAUUGAGGAGCAUCAUACAGAAGUUAUCUGACAAAAUGGCAAAACUUACUUUCGUUCUCUUGGCUAUUUUCGCCGUAAUUGUUCUCGCAACAACUGAAGUUAGUGCAGGUAAAUUUGAAAUUGAGCACCACGAAAUAUACCAAGUAGAAGGCGACAGCUGUGAUUGCAUCUAUUGCUCAUCCAAUUGUACUGCCAAGGAAGACAAUCGUUAUGUAGGAGGUUUCUGUUACUGGAACGAUUGUGUAUGUGUUUGGUUCAGACGUAGAUAACAUGGCUAAACCAAUUUUGAAAUUCAAUAAAAUCAUUUAAUAUCGUAAA
Diorhabda sublineata is the source of this 326-nucleotide long non-coding RNA. RefSeq lists it as uncharacterized. The record is from RefSeq and is a predicted model, not a curated record. NCBI's taxonomy places the organism in Eukaryota, Metazoa, Arthropoda, Insecta, Coleoptera, Chrysomelidae. The transcript is spliced from 2 exons.